Molecule: ribosomal RNA, 700 nt
Filed under: uncultured bacterium
Lineage: Bacteria
Description: bacterial SSU rRNA
Rfam family: Bacterial small subunit ribosomal RNA
Source: RNAcentral
GGUGUAAGGGUGAAAUCUGUGGAUAUCGAGAAGAACAUCAACGGCGAAGGCAACUUUCUGGGCCGUUUCUGACGCUAAACUGCGAAAGUAGGGUAGCGAACAGAAUUAGAUACUCUGGUAGUCCUAGCCGUAAACGAUGAGCACUAGGUGUUGGUCCUUCACGGGAUCAGUGCCGCAGCUAACGCAUUAAGUGCUCCACCUGGGGACUACGGCCGCAAGGCUAAAACUCAAAGGAAUUGACGGGGACCCGCACAAGCGGUGGAACAUGUGGUUUAAUUCGAUGCUACGCGAAAAACCUCACCAGGGUUUGACAUGUAUGUAGUAGUGAACCGAAAGGGGAUCGACCUGUCAAGUCAGGAACUUACACAGGUGCUGCAUGGCUGUCGUCAGCUCGUGUCGUGAGGUGUUGGGUUAAGUCCCGCAACGAGCGCAACCAUUUUCUUUUGUUGCUAUUACAUUUGGCCUUCGGGCCAGGUGUAAGCACUCUAAAGAGACUGCCUGGGUUAACCAGGAGGAAGGCGGAGAUGACGUCAAGUCAGUACGGCCUUUAUGCUCUGGGCUACACACGUGUUACAAUGGCUGGUACAAAGGGUUGCCAACCCGCGAGGGGGAGCUAAUCUCAAAAAACCAGCCUCAGUUCGGAUUGGAGUCUGAAAUUCGACUCCAUGAAGCCGGAAUCGCGUAGUAAUGGCAGAUCAGC